Molecule: ribosomal RNA, 301 nt
Filed under: uncultured bacterium
Lineage: Bacteria
Description: partial 16S ribosomal RNA
Rfam family: Bacterial small subunit ribosomal RNA
Source: RNAcentral
CAGUAGCCGCGGUAAUACGAAAGGUCCAAGCGUUACUCGGAAUUACUGGGCGUAAAGCGCGCGUAGGCGGUUUUGUAUGUCGAUUGUGAAAGCCCCGGGCUCAACCUGGGAACUGCAGUCGAAACUGCAAGACUUGAAUGUUGGAGAGGUUGGGGGAAUACCUAGUGGAGAAGUGAAAUUCGUAGAGAUUAGGUGGAACACCAGAGGCGAAGGCGCCUGACUGGCCAAACAUUGACGCUAAGGCGCGAAAGCGUGGGUAGCAAACAGGAUUAGAUACCCCAGUAGUCCCUGUCUCUUAUAC